AAAUGCGGCUAUACCACCUUGCAAAAGCCUGAUCUUGUUUGAUCUUAAAAGUUAUAUGCAAGGUUUGGCCUGGUUAGUGCUUGGAUGGGAGAUCAUUGGGAAUACCAAGUGCCACCAUUG
This 120-nucleotide ribosomal RNA is filed under the name Periophthalmus magnuspinnatus. The record is from RNAcentral. Lineage: Eukaryota; Metazoa; Chordata; Actinopteri; Gobiiformes; Gobiidae.